Molecule: unclassified non-coding RNA, 201 nt
Filed under: uncultured Basidiomycota
Lineage: Eukaryota; Fungi; Basidiomycota
Description: sequence contains ITS2
Source: RNAcentral
AACUCUCAACCCCCCUGUUUUGUAAUGAGACGGGCGUGGGCUUGGAUCGUGGCUGUUUGUCGGUCUCUCAUCGAGCCGGCUCAGCUGAAACACAUGAGCGACCAGAUUGAAUAAAUGACGGCUUGACUCGGCGUAAUAAUAUUACUCGCUGAGGACGUCUAAUUUCAAAUAGGCGCUUCUAAUGACUUAGCCCUUUUAAGC